GCAAAUCAGUGAGUUAGCUCAUAGGCAGCCCGCCACCUCUGAGACCUCCCAACCACCCAGUAACCUUUCUACUACUAGUGGAUUUGUUCAACCUACCCUGGAUCCUCGAGAACCCCUCUUACCUCCUCCGGAGCAUUAUGCAGGCAAUCCUGGUACCUGCUGGGCGUUCCUUUCCUAGUGCUCCCUCAUUUUCAAACUCUAGCCCUCUUCAUUCCUGUCGGACCGAUCGAAGAUAGCGUAUUUAAUCACGCUCAGUGGGAGCAGCAAUCCACUGUGUGCCAUAGCCUGAAGGAAUUCAUGGCAGAAGUGAAGGUUUUCAAUUCUCCGGUGCCUUGGAGUGAGGUGGCUCGAAAACUACUGCGACUACAAGCUCCCAGCUCGGGAAAUACCACGGGACCUCGAUUCUCUCAUCGCCCUGGCGAUUAGGAUUGAUGGGCGCCUACGAGAACACCGGUGUGAGAGGAUGUCGGGUCUCGGAAACACUCGUACGUCUGCUGAUGCUGGUGCCCAUCCGAAGGAAUCUGGAAAUCCCCGAAGUUGGAAUUUCCGAGGAGAGCUGAAAACACCCGAGGUUCCCAGAGAAUCAUCGGCGACGGGCCACUGCAUGCUGUGACAUGGGCCUGGAUGAUCACACACAUCUUCUUCAAGCUUACUGAUUGAAUACUGGGGCCUUCAGUGGUUCCGGAAGCAAGGGCCCUACCUAGGAGUACAGCAACUGUCUCUCUGUCUCACA
This 733-nucleotide long non-coding RNA is filed under the name Salmo salar (Atlantic salmon). RNAcentral's name for it is "lncRNA (ENSSSAG00000111704.1)". Lineage: Eukaryota; Metazoa; Chordata; Actinopteri; Salmoniformes; Salmonidae. The record is from RNAcentral.